UAUUUUGGCAGAAAAGUGCCAUGAAUUUAGAAUUCAUAUAUGUAAUUAAUGUUACAAUUAGUA
Molecule: transfer RNA, 63 nt
Filed under: Megaloprepus caerulatus
Lineage: Eukaryota; Metazoa; Arthropoda; Insecta; Odonata; Coenagrionidae
Also listed under: 1 other name
Description: tRNA-Leu
Source: RNAcentral